AAUAGGAAAGGAUGAGUCAAUGACAUGAAGAAACUUCCAAGUUGAAUAUUAGUUGCAAAGAUAUUUUGGAUAUUACUUAGCUUGGUUUUUCCUACAAACGAAAAUAUGUACUUUUUGAAAUAUUUACAAUCAAUAGUCUUCUUUUUCUUUUUUCCUUCCUUUAAUAAGAUUGACCGGUAGUUUUUGUAAUAUGGAGAUCUUGGCUAGAAAUUGACAAUACGUGACUUAGAUAGAUACAUGAAUUAUAAAUGUACAUCCUACUUGUAUCUGGUGUUUAUAUUAAACUAAACAAUUUAAUUUUAAUAGUAUAAAAAUAUUCUGAAAAAAUACAUCAAUUAAUCAUGAUGAAAAUGUAGAUGUCUUUAUAUAAUAACGUAUGUUUUGCAUUUAUUGAUUUGAUAUGAAUAUGACUACUGAUAAUAUUUUACCAAAUUUAUCGGCCUUUCCUAGACUUUUCACUUUAAUACUAGGCUAUAACUAUGUAUUUUGGCUACUAUUUGCACUUUAAAUUGGCUGUACUUUACUAAUGUUUGAGCGUUAAAUGGUAGUAAAUUGCUCUAAUUGAGUAUUUUAUGCUUUGCAGGAGCAACUCCGGGCUACAAAAAGGUUAAGGAGUGUUUUGAGAUAAUAUGGAGCGUUGAAGGCCAAGUAAAAGCUUAUGGAGUAAAUUGGGAGUUCGUUAGAGGAUCGAAAGAGGUUAGCGCAAUUAAAAAUAAGAACGAAGAAGAAUGCAGAAAAUGGCCCAGGUACGCGGUCGCGCACUGGCCGCGCAAGUCAUGCAGAAAUUUCACAAAGUGCGCGGCCAGAUGCGCAAUCACCCUCCCAGGUGCGCGGCCGCACAUGUCUCUCCGAGAAAAAUUAUUCCAGGGCUCAACUUGUAAUUUCACAGGCAACUCUCCUUGACCUAUAUGAAGCCUAGCUCGCCCAAAAAGAGGGUAUCUUGGUUUUUAGAAGAAUUUUGAAGGAAAGAACAUGCAAGAAGCAUGACGAAAGAUUCGGCAACGAGUUUUUAUCUUUCUUCCUCUAGUUUUUGUCAUUGAUGAUGAAUUCUAUUGUUGUGAUUGUGAAAACAAUUAUGCAUAGCUAAACUCCUAAUUUAGGAUUUUGAUGGAACCUAUUGGAGGAUGAUUCGUUAAUAUAGAUUGUCGUAGUAUUCUCUCUAUUUGUUCCACUAUAUUAUUAUUGUUGUUGAUUGAAGGGCCCUCAAUCGACUAUGCCUAAUUAGUAUGUAUUACUCGGGAAAGAGUACAUAUUUAGGUAGUUGUUGAACAACAUCACUCCUAACGUAUAUGAGGGAUCAAUACGAAGGGUUUAAAGGUGGGAUUAGAGAUAACGAAACCUUGGUGCGAUCUGAGUUAGCUGUACUUAAGGCCAGCUAGCGUAAUUCGGGAGAAUAUGUCUAGUAUAUUGUGGUAAUUACUUGGGAGAGAGUUAUGACAGUCAGAGUGCUCAUGAUCGAUAGAGAAGACUUAAACAAAUUUAUAGAAAACAUAGCGGAAAGGAUUCCGACAAUAAGGGAAAUCAUAACCUUAGAUCAUUCCAAUUCUUGUCUAUAACUUGUUCGUAGUUAGUUAUUAUUUAUUGCAUUUUUAUUACGUACUAUUUAGUUAGUAAACAUCCAUGUUAUUACUUAAAUAUUUCUGAAGAUUGAUUACGUGAAUUUGUGUGAGUCCAAUAGUUGUGUUUAAUAGGUUAUUUCCCUGUGGGAUUCGACUCCGAACUUGUUAACCGGAAUAUAUUUGCAACGACCGCUUAGUCCUUUUUAUAAGACAUAGUUGGGCGUAAUCAAAUUUUGGCAACAUUGCCGGAGACUUAACGGUGUUAUUAAUUGGAGCUAAAAGAAGUGCUAGAAUUCUUAAUGUAGUCAAUUUUCAUCAAUUUAAACUAAAUACAUUGAAAUUGUAACGUUUGUAGUCUUGGGUGUUACAGGUGCAUGCCUAGAAACUCCUCAAGAACUGGUGAAUUGUUCGAAGCAUUAUCAGAUCCGGAGAAAUAUUCAAGUCAUUGAAUCAUGCAAACAAGAAAGGCAAACAACAACAGAACUCAACAGAACAAAUCGAACCAGACAUGGAAGACGGAGUAAAUAAUCCAAACAACAGAAACAAUGUGAAUGACCUGAACAAUCAGGGUAUGGUGCCUCUUGUGCCAGAAGAAACAUUGUAUGAUUGGGCACAACCCACAGCCGACAACCUAUCAACCACAAUUGCAAUCCCUCAGAUACAAGCAGAAUCAUUUCAAAUCACAAACAACAUGCUACACUUGUUGCAGAAUAAGGGACUGUUCUCAGGAUCAUAUAUUGAAGAUCCUCAGCAGCAUCUAAAGAAUUUCCUAUCGAUAUGUGUCACGUAAAAGCAACCUAAUGUGACACCGGAAGCAAUAAAGCUGUUGUUAUUUCCAUUCUCGGUGACGGGAGAGGCUCAGACUUAGCUUAAUUCACUCCCCAUUAAUUCCAUCACUACUUUGGAGGAAUUAGUCAAAUUAUAUCCACCUAAUAAGACUGCUCAACAAAUUGAUGAGAUAUUGAGCUUUAGACAGAAACCAAAAGAAACAUUAAAAGAAAUGUGGGAGAGGUUCAAGGGUAUCCUGGUUAAGUGUCCACAUCAUGGCAUUCCAGAGUAGAUGUUGGGGUAGUGGUUCUACAUGGGAUUGGCAGACAACUUAAAGGCCAAUGUUGAUGCUUCAGCAGGUGGAGCAUUUUUGAGUAAAACAUUCAGAGAAAGCAAGAUCUUACUUGAUAAGAUGGCCCAAAACUCAGGAUGGAUGACAAGAGACUCUACAAUCACUCUUGUAGUUCAUUUAGUGGCUUUAAACCCAAAUAACUCUAUAGCUGAAAAUAUGGCCACUCUAGUGAUGCAAAUGAGUAUCCUCACCAAAAGUUAGAUGAAUCAAGACAGAAACAGCAGGUACACAUAGUUUAUGCAACUAACGGGGGCUUAUGUACACUAUGCAUUAACCAACCAUAUAUUUUCUCGUGGAGUGCGGAAGGUGAUAACCAACAAUAUCAGGAAAAUAUGAACUAUAUGGCCAACUAUUGGGGGCAGAGGCAAGGUGGUCAGAAUUGGGGACAACAUAAGCAACAAUAUAUACCAGCACAGCAUCAGUACAACAUCAACAACAAUCUUGGAGCUAUGCGACCACAGGGUCAAGUGGUGCCUUACCAAAGGCAACAAGGUUACAACCAACAAAAUUAGCAGUUGGAUUAUCAACAACCUCAACAAGAACAAAUUGUGAGACAAGAUGAUGGGUUUGCUGAACUUAAGGGAAUGCUAAAUAACAACAACAGAAUGUUGCAACAACUAAUUGGGACUACUAGAAAAUUAACCGAGGGAGUAGACUCACAUGAAUCAACGAUAAAAGGUAUUGAGGUUCAAUUAGGACAGAUUUUGAUGGCUUUAAACAAUUAUCCCUAAGGGACGUUACCUGCAGACACACAAAUCAAGCCAAAAGAGCAUGGCCCGAAACAACUUAUGGUAGUGAGUCUACAAAAUGGUAGAUUCCUAGAUCUGGAGCAAGAAAUUGCUCGUGAAAGCCAACCUACUGAAACACUUGUGCCAGUACCCAUUGAGAUAGAUGAUUCAACAGGGUUAACUGAGGUGACGGUAUAAAAUGCACAUGAGAACACCAGCAAAGAAAAAGAGGUUGCAAAGGAGACUGAGGUAGCACAUGAAACGACAGUAGAAGCAGUGCCUGAGCAAGAAAAAAAUCAAAUCACAGGGAAGAAGCGACCUCCACCGUUCCCACAAAGAUUGGCCAAGUAUCAGAAAGAAGAGCAGUAUAAGAAAUUCUUGGAGAUGUUGAAGCAAAUUCAGGUAAACAUUCCAUUGAUUGACGCCUUAAAGGAAAUGCCUGGUUAUGCAAAAAUGAUGAAGGACUUGAUGUCUCGUAAGUUCGACUUUCAAGACUUGGCCAUGGUUACACAGACUCAGACAUGUAGUAUUUCUAUGAUGAGACCCAUAGUUGAGAAGUUGUUUGACCCAGAGAGUUUCACAAUCCCAUGCACAAUAGGCAACUAUGUAUUUGCUAUGGCACUUUAUGAUUUGGGGGCAAACAUAAACAUGAUGCCCCUGGCUAUCUACAAAAGGUUAGGCAUUGGAAGAGCUAGACCCAUGUCCAUGUUACAACAGCUGGCUAACCGGAUAGUGAAGAAGCACUCUGGUAUUCUUGAUGAUGUAUUAGUACAGGUUGAGAAAGUUGUGUUCCCAGCAGAUUUUGUCCUUCUUGACUGUCGGGUUGACGAGAAAAUUCCCACAAUUUUGGGAAGACCAUUCCUGGCCAUAGGGAGAGCUUUAAUUGACUGUGAAACUGGAGAGCUCAAAAUGAGAAUAAAUGAUGAAGAAAUAACAUUCAACGUGCAGAAAUCUAUGCGGUGACCAAGUGAAUUUGCUUACUGCUCUUUAAUACAAGCCGCGGAUGUAAUUUUGGAGGAGGAAGAUGAGACAUUGAAUACUAAAGACCCUCUAGCAGCCUGUCUCAUGAACUUAGAUGAAGCAAAUGGAGAGGACUUGGCGGAGUGGGUACUUGCUCUUGAAGUCCAAGGUAUUUGGAGAAGGGGGCUCGAAUUUGAGCCUUUGCACUUAGAGAAAAGGAAAAUUCCUCCAGCUAAGUCGUCUAUAGAAGAGCCACUAAAGUUGGAACUGAAGCCCCUACAACCUCAUCGCAGGUAUGCUUUCUUGGGACUUAACUCAACUUUACCUGUUAUUAUCUUAUUUAGUUUGUUAGAUGUGCAGGUAGAACAACUUUUGCAGGUAUUGAUGGAGUGCAAGACUGCAAUUGGUUGGACCAUUGCAGAUAUCAAGGGUAUCAGCCCAGUAUUUUGUAUGCAUAAGAUUCUACUAGAACAUGGGUACAAACCUUUCAGAGAACAUCAAAGAAGGCUGAACCCCAACAUGAAAGAAGUGGUAAAGAAAGAAGUGAUUAAGUGGUUAUAUGGGGGAAUCAUAUUCCCUAUAUCUGUCAGCAACUGGGUCAGCCCAGUUUAGUGUGUGCUGAAGAAGGGUUCGGUAUGACGGUAGUGAAAAAUGAGAAGAACGAGUUAAUCUCAACACGAACAAUCAUAGGCUGGAGAAUUUGUAUGGGUUACAGAAAGUUGAACAUGGCUACCAGGAAAGACCAUUUAUCACUGCCAUUCAUUGGUUAGAUGCUAGAUAGAUUGGCAGGGAGGUCUCACUACUGCUUUUUGGAUGGGUACUCAGAGUAUAAUCAGAUCUUUAUUGCCUUGGAGGAUAGAGAGAAAAUGUCGUUCACCUGCCCUUAUGGUAUCUAUGCCUUUCAGAGAAUGUCGUUUGGCCUAUGCAAUGUACUCGCCACAUUCUAAAGGUGCAUGAUGGCCAUCUUCAUAGAUAUGGUAGAGGAAAUAAUGGAGGUGUUCAUGGAUGACUUCUCAGUGGUGGGGAACUCAUUCGAUGAUUGCCUUAUGAACUUGAGAAGAGUAUUAAAGAGGUGUAUCAAGACUAAUCUAGUACUCAACUAGGAAAAGUGUCAUUUCAUGGUAUAGGAAGGUAUAUUCUUGGGGAACCUAGUUUCGAGUAAAGGCAUUGAGGUGGAUCGUGCAAAGGUUGAUGUGAUCGAAAAGCUUCCACCACCCAUGUCCGUCAAAGAAAUAAGAAGUUUCCUCGAACAUGUAGGUUUUUAUAGGAGAUUCAUAAAAGAUUUUUCCAAAUUUUCUAACCCGUUGUGUAAAUUGCUUGAAAAAGAUCACCUUUUUGUGUUUUUUGAUGGCUGCAGGGUAGCUUUUGAGGAAUUGAAGAAGAGGCUGGUAACAACACCUAUCAUAGUUGCACUUGACUGGGAGCAAACAUUUGAGCUAAUAUGUGAUGCGAGCGACUAUGCUGUGGGAGCAGUUCUUUGUUAGUGAAAACACAAAGUCAUGCAUUCAAUAUACUACGCAAGUAGAACUCUGAAUAGUGCCCAAUUGAAUUACACAGUAACCGAGAAGGAGAUGCUAGCAGUGGUGUUCACCUUUGACAAAUUCAGGUCAUACCUGAUAGGCUCGAAGGUAAUUAUUUAUACAGACCAUGCAGCCCUCAGGUACUUAAUCGAAAAGAAGGAGUCAAAGUUGCACCUGAUUCGAUGGGUGCUACCGAUGUAAGAAUUUGACUUGGAAAUCCAUGACCGAAAGGGAACGGAGAACCAAUUGGCUGAUCACUGUCUAGGCUGGAAGGAGCUGGGAAGAAGGUAGAGGUGGAAGAGAAUGUGGAGACUUUCCCAGAUGAACAACUAUUAUCCACGAGUCUUGAGGUAGCGCAAUGGUAUGCAUACAUUGCAAACUACCCGGUGAGCAGUAUUGUUCCUUAUGACCUUUCCUCUGUCCAAAAGAAAAAGUUAUUUCGUGAUUGUCGCAUAUAUUAUUGGGAUGAGCCUUAUUUGUUCAGGAUUUAUAUUAAUAACAUGAUCCAGCGAUGUAUCCCCGAGAUAGACCAGUCUUUUAUUUUGUAGGAGUGUCACGCGUCACCAUAUGGUGGCCAUUCCGAAGGAGUAAGGAUAGAUACAAAAGUCUUGGAGUCGGGCUUCUACUGGCCGACAUUGUUCAAAGAUGCACACUUAUGGGUGAUAGGUUGUGAUGAAUGUCAACGUACAUGGAAUAUUUCCUGCCGACAUGAGAUGCCUAUGAACUCAAUUCAGGAGGUAGAAGUGUUUGAUGCAUGGGGAAUCGACUUCAUGGGGCCUUUUGUUAGCUCAUAUGGCAACAAGUACAUACUCGUAGCUAUGGACUACGAGUACAAAUGGGUGAAGGCCGCAACGCUACCUACAAAUGAUGUAAAAGGGGUAAUUGGUUUUGAAGAAAGAAUAUAUUCACAUGAUUUGGCACUCUAAGGGCAAUAAUCAGUGAUGGAGGCACUCACUUCUGUAAUCGAGCCUUCGCAAAGUUGUUAGAAAGUAUUAUGUAUGCCACAAGAUUUCCACUCCAUAUCAUCCACAAAUGAGUGGGCAAGUGAAAGUUUCGAACAGAGAGAUAAAGAGUGUGUUGACAAAGAUUGUGAAUGCUACAAGAACAUAUUGGGCAAGAAAGUUAGAUGAUACACUCUGGGCCUAUCGUACCGCUUUAAAACUUCGAUUGGCAUGUCGCCAUAUAAAUUGGUGUUUGGGAAGGCGUGUCACCUACUAGUGGAGUUGGAGCAUAGAGCUUUGUGGGCAUUGAGGCAGCUUAAUCUCGAUAUAGAAGCUGCGAGCACAAGUACAGUCACAGAGUUUGCAUGAGCUUGAUGAGUUUUGCUACCACACUUUUGAGAGCACAAGUCUAUACAAAGAAAUAAUGAAGAUGAUGUAUGACAAAAAUAUUCUUGAAUAGAGUUUUAACCCGGAGAUAUGGUAUUGCUUUACAAUUCAAAAUUGAGGUUAUUUCUGGGCAAAUUAAAGUCAAAAUUGUUAGGACCAUUUAGUGUGGUAGAGAUUCACCACACUGGUUCCAUAGAGAUUGUUGCAGAAAAUGACUCUCACACAUUCAGAGUCAGUGGACACAGGUUAAAAUAUUAUGUGGGCAUGGAUGACGCGAAAGUAGUAUCGGUGACUCAUUUGCUCAAGCCACCAAUGUUGAGUGAGACGUAAGAGCGAUGACCUACGUCGUGUUGCGACAUUAAACCAGGCGCUUUAUGGGAGGCAACCCAUUGUAAUGUUGUAUAAAUAAUUAGAAAAAAAACUGGGAAAAAAAUCACGUGUGAGACCGCGCAUUGAUUGCGCAGUUUUAGAUUUUUCUGCCACAGAUGUGCGGUCGCGCACUGGGAACUGUUGGUAGGGUUUUAACUAGUAAUUUUAGUUUGUAUUUUUUAUCUUUUCCUUAGUCAUUUUUUUUAUUAAAAAAANNNNNNNNNNNNNNNNNNNNNNNNNNNNNNNNNNNNNNNNNNNNNNNNNNNNNNNNNNNNNNNNNNNNNNNNNNNNNNNNNNNNNNNNNNNNNNNNNNNNNNNNNNNNNNNNNNNNNNNNNNNNNNNNNNNNNNNNNCCCCCCCCCACCCCCCCCCCCCGCAACCCUAAAAACUCCCGUUCCUCCCCCCUUACUAACCUAAAUCCUAAACCCCCUCUUUUAUUCUAUCUCCCUUCCUUAAAAUCCCCCAAUUUCAAAACCUAACCCCACCCCCUUUCAUCUCUUCUCUUCUAACUUCUCUUAUCUAAUUUCUGUCAUUUUCUCCCCAACCUACACCCCCACAAUUCCGUCAGGUAAGUACCCUUGUUUAAGUUUGUUUUGUAUGCCAUUGCUUAGGUUAUUUUAAUUUUUGUGUAUUGUAGUAGAUUCCUAUUGUAUUGCAGUGGAUUUCUUCUUGUAUUGUAUUCUCGUUAUACUCAUUGGUAUGUCGAGGCAAUAGUUGAAUUUUAUUAUGAUGGGUUAGGUUGACAUUGGUAUAUCAGUGGUUGAAUUGGGGUUAUCAAAUUGCUGUUUGCGAGUUAAGGUGAAUUGGGAAGUUUAGGUGUUUGUUUAAAUGCCACGAUGAGUUUGAGAAUGUAAUUUUGUGACCAAGUGUGCUGGUUAAGUUUGGGUAACCGCCCUUGGUUAACAUAUCGUGCCUUUCGCUGAUGGUGGUAUUUGUUUCAGGUAGUAUGAUGCCAUCCAAGAAAUGAAGAACCAGGGGUGCAUCCUCUAGUGGUCAUGCUGGAUCAUCCCGUUCGCGAGGUUCUGCUAAUGUUUGCCAGUAUGAUAGUACCAAGUUCGUAUAUAGAGCGGCUCAGGAAUGUUUUGGUCAUAAGUCUUCUAAGAAACUCAUACCGGAGAAGGGAAUUGAUAUGGGGUCACUCCAAAAUGACUUUCCCAACAUGUAUUAUGAAUUGGUCCAGCGCAGGCUAGAUAUCUUGUUUGAAGAACCGGAUGAAGCCAAUUUAAUGAACCACGUCUACACAGUGCGGAAAAAGAGUGUGAACGCAUCCAUAGAGGCCAUUCGGAGGGCUUACCGGUUGCCAAUGUUUGGGGAAGAUCCUGACGCAGAGGACUACUAUGACAUCCAUGGAAGAGUACCAAUCCCGUGGGAAGGGUUCUUUAGGAAAAUAUGUGUGCCCAACAAGGAAGUAGUGUGGAUUACGCAACAGAAGAAGUUUCAUUCGGCUUCGUUCAUCUUUGAAGGGAAGUGUUGGCUCUACGUCAUCAAUAGCCGCCUGCUGCCUUCUUCCAAUACCACUAAUGUGAAUGGUCCUCGUGCUGCGCUGAUCUGGUGUUUCAUCAAUGGCCACGAUUUUGAUGUGGCUAAGGUUAUCCAUGAUGAAAUGUUCAUUCGUUUCCAGGUGCAAAGGUAUGGGUUCUUCUUUCCUUCAUUAAUCACUAGAUUAUGUCGUGCAAUACGUGUACCGAAAAACAAAGACUUGGAUGGGACAAUAAAGAAAGAAUAGAAGUUCUGUGCUGAUAAAGUGGUAAUUGGGAAGGAUCUUGUUGCACCUUGUCUCGCCCCUUUUUUCCUCGCGGAGUUCGGGGUUUUGACAUUUUUGGAGUACAACUCCUUUCCUUUUGGGAAUUGGGUAUGAGAUUUGAAGAGUCACCACCUAACAGAUUAAGGUGUGUUAGGGCACCUAGAGCAAAUAACUCAUGAACUAGUUUACACCACUAGAGAUUUGGUAAGGGCUCAAAAUUACCUUGAGGGGAAGGUGUUAGGAACCCCUCGAGGUCCACAACGGUGGUUCCAUGCCAAACUCAAUUUAAGUGAAUUAGUCUUAUUAGGAAAUAAAGCAAUUUAAACAAAUAGAUAUUACUUUUAAAACAAGGAGUAAAGGGGGUCAUAGGUUUUUUAGCCUAUAGGAUCACUUUUGUGCAAUACUUGGUAAUCGUCCCCAAGUUAGGGUGUUACACAUAACAUUAGCACACAGAUCAUCAUUUCCUUUUACUAUCCAAUUACCCUCCCCUUUUUUAAUUAUUACCUUAGCGUUCUAAUAACAUCCAGUACGUACCUUAUGCGUGCAAAAUCCGUCCUUACCUCUUGACCUGGAGGUGUUUAGGGCCUCUAUUUAAGGCAGUUCUAGACUCACCUAUGUUUUUUAAAAGGAGAAAACUAAGCGACAAACAAAAGUCAAGUAGGACUGUCACACAAGAAGCAAUUAAGUGGGAUCAUGUUAACCUCCACAAAUAGACAAACAAAUGUAUGUUGUUCAAACAAUUCUAAAUAAUUUUAGGGUCCUAUAGGCAGGAUAUCUAAAAGAGCACAAACAGAAUAUACAACAGUUUUAUUAAAGCAAGCAUACAAAUACCUAUCAGUUUGCCUACUAACUUUGUUAAUACUCUGGAUCCGAGCAGAUGCCAAAUAAGCAAUCACAGUUUUUAGACCCAGAAUUUAAUUAACCUACAGGCUUGCCUUAGUGAUAACCGGGCAGAACCUUAUAGACAUGGCAUCGAAGCUGUAAAUCAACUACUGAUUUUUAACAGGCAUAUUUUAUCUUUAAAUCCUAUAGGCAUGCUUUCUAAGUGCUAAAACGGGUUUUGAAAUCCUAUAGGCAUGAUUUCUAAAUGCUGAAACUGGUUUUAAAACUUAUAGGCAUGAUAUCUAAAUUGCAGAAGUUGAUUCCUUUAUUUCCUACAUGCAUGAUUUCUAAGUAUAGAAACUAAUUUUGAAAUCCUAUAGGCAUGAUUUCUAAAUGCAGAAACUGAUUUUGAAAUCCUAUAGGCGUGAUUUCUAAAUGCAGAAACUAAUUUUGAAAUUCUAUAGGCAUGGCAUUUACAAUUAUAAACAUAUAGGCAUGAUAUCUAUUAAUCACACGUGGGCAAAAUUCUUUAAACACAUUGCUAGGAAAAUUACUAAUCGAAUAGAUAGGGUCCUAUUGACAUGGUUACUAAUGAAUAUAAAAAUAAGCAUGGAUCCUAUGGACAGGAUUUCUAGUGCAAAGAAUUAAACAUAAAGUCCUAUAAGAAGAAUUUCUAACAUGCAGAUGUGCAGCACAGAAUCAAACGAUCAGAAAAAUCCUGCAGGCAGGAUCACAAUACAGUAUCCACAUAAUGCAAUCAAUAUAGUUAAGUCCUAUAGGCAGGAUUUCUACCCAAUUUCAACAAAAGAUAUAAGAAUAGACCCCCCAACUUUUAUUAAUAACCCCAUAUCUAUUUAUUACAGAGAUCAUUACAGGCCAAUAUGAAUAAAUUACACAAUAAUAAUCAUUAUACUAUAGGGAGCCUUAGCAUGGCCAACAUAAACCUGAGAGCCAGGCCUUCAGCACAACAGUCUUGAAACAGUAACAGAUAUUCAUUCAUAGCACAUUAAACAAAACUUCCAAUGUGUCAAAGUUCCCAAAGAGCCUCAGGGACCCCGGGCAACGCUCACACUAGAGCCAUGUAUUCAACACAGAAUUCAUAUAGGGUUGGAAAACCAGCCCCAAUGUAUCAGAGUUCAAAGGAGUCUUAGGGACCCUAUGCCGUGCUCACACUGGGGGUGGUAGGAACCUAAAGGGCUAAGAGUAGCAAUUUGAAAACUAGUACAUAGAAGGUAAGGGGGACAAUUUUAGAAAAUAGUUUAAUUUUAGAAGCAAAUAGAUUCAGGAUACAGGGGUUGCAAAUAGAGUCAUACAAAUAGGGUCCAUACUCAGUACAUGAUUCAGGAAGAUUGGUAUUUAUUUAGAGUGGAUACUUAUAUCAGUGAUCACAAAAAGCAAGGACACUUGAAUUAACAGACAGAGUUAGCCAGAUUACAUGCUUGCAGUAUCCAGCCAUGUUCAGAACAAGGAACAUACAACUGAUUUAGAUAGGGUUUCACAUAACUUAGUUUAUUAACUAUCACUAGGUGGACUCAUAUAGACAUAUAUUGAAUAAAAGCAUGCUGGAGUUUGAAAUAACUAACCAAACAAACAUAUAGCACAGGAUAACAGGAACUAAAGCUCUCUAGUCUAGAAAGAAGUAAACAGAAAUCAAGGACCAGACAUGCUAAGGUAAGCCCAUCACACAACCACAUAGAACAAAGCAAAUUAAUAGGAUUUGAGGCAUACUAGUCAGGGAGAAUGCAAGUAAGAAACACAUGGCAAACAGAAACAUAUUGCAGUUGGAAGUACACUAAUCAUAUAAUCACAUGGAACAACAAUAACUGAGGCAUAACACACGAGAACAUGAUGACCAGGAAUCAUGUAUCAAACAGGAACAUGUCGAGGUCUAUAAUAGACUGAAUACAUAGCAUAUAGAAUAGAACAUGGUAACAGGAAUUGAGACAUACUAGUUAAGAGAGUAGUAAACAGGAAACAGAAGGGGCAAACAGAAUCAUAUUGAAGUCUAACUACAUAGCAUAUAGAAAAGAACAUGAUAACAGAAAUGGAGGCAUACCAGUUAAGGAGAUCGCAAACAGGAAGGUGAAGACGAAAGAAAUCCAAGAGUCUAGCCUUGACUUUCAGCCCGCUAGACAGUGCACCAGAUCAACGAAACUGAAAUUGUGUAAGUGUGUGUGUGUAUUAGUAUGUGCUUGUAAGUAUAGAUAUCUGAGUCUGAGCGUGAGUGUCUUUAAAGGGGAAUGGGGAAGGGUUUAAAUAAUGUAGGAGUUAAACACAUAAACAUGAAAAAUCAAUUAGUCAAACACUAGAAAGGUAAGCGUUAAAAUCAGUAAAAUUGAACCCUAAACUUUAGGUGAAGAUACACAAAAUCAGUAGGAAAAAGGUAAAGAAUCACAUAAGGCAUAUAAUGAAAAGAGAUACCAGAUUUGGUUCAGGUAAAAAGGGUCUGAAAUCCUAAUUUAGGUAAAUCCCAAAAUCAGCAGAGAAUAAUGGCAAAGAAUCACGUAAUAGCACAAAAAUAAACGUAGACAGGAUUAUUCAAAAGAAGAGUAGGAUUGCACCAGAUUUGGUUCAAGAAAAAAGGUUUGAAACCCUAAAUUUAGGUAAACCAUAAAAUCAACCGAAAAUAAAGCAAAUAAUCACAUAUUUGCAUAAAACGAACAAAGAUGAGAGAUUAUUCAAAUGGAAGCACAGAAUCGAACUAGAAAGAUCUGAAAUCCUAACUUAGGGCAAAAUAAGGUAAAAAAAUAUUGAAAACACGUUAGAUUAAACAGAAAUAAGGAAAAUAUUAGUCAAAUACAAGAAAGGAAAGAGUAUCAAUCAGAGAUCAGUAAAGAACAAGGAAAUGUCUCAAACCCUAGUUGAGACUGAUGCUUUGAAUCGGACCAGAGAUGCAAGAAUCAUUCAAUAAAACAUGUAUAUGGACGGAAGAUCAUCCAGAUCUUCAUAGAAUCAGGGUGAAUCUAUCCGUUAUUGAGGUAGUUCUUGCCAAAAAUAGGGCAAGAAUCUAAGUAAUACCGUAGAUGAGCAUAUAAUGAUAGAGUAAUACAAAAUAGGUAAGCAAAUCAUGGAUUGAUUCCAUGUUUGAGCCAUAAUAAGAGAGAUUUGAGGGUGACGACGCUAGGGUUUGACAAAGAUGGAGAGGGCGUUGAGUGCAUUUAAAGACGAC
Molecule: long non-coding RNA, 13318 nt
Filed under: Nicotiana tabacum (common tobacco)
Lineage: Eukaryota; Viridiplantae; Streptophyta; Magnoliopsida; Solanales; Solanaceae
Description: long non-coding RNA (NTAB_LNC011178)
Source: RNAcentral